Homo sapiens (human) is the source of this 1611-nucleotide long non-coding RNA. Ensembl annotates it as long intergenic non-protein coding RNA 710. The record is from Ensembl. NCBI's taxonomy places the organism in Eukaryota, Metazoa, Chordata, Mammalia, Primates, Hominidae.
AGGAGGUGCCUGGAGUUUUGGAGAUGGGAUCCACAGGUCUCUUCACACCGAACGCCUCUUCCCCUCUUGUGCCAGCUUGAUGCUGACUUCAAUAUGUUUGGGCUGCUGGGCCCAUGGGAGGAGAAAGGCUGGGGGAAUUCAACACAACACGAAAUAAUCAACAAAUUCGGGGAAUGUUAAUCUGACCAUCACCAGUUACAAAUGAUGUUUCAUGCUACCUUCUAUUCCUGCCUUCAUAAAUCAAGGUAAUUACUUGGCAAUCUGGCUAUGCCUUGUAAGGCAAAAGAGCUGUUCAUUUCUUGUGUCAAAUGGUGAACAGGGAGGGAGAGUAAAAUGGUAAAUAACCCUGCCUCCCAUCUGUGCCCAAUCAGCUCUAAAUCUCCAGGAAAAAAUGUGCUCAGGAUGGCCAGAGAAAUGUCCUUCCAACUGUGCAUGGAAAGGUAUGAUUUUGUGCAGCAGGUGAAGGACUGGUUAGAGUAAGUGUGUGCUGAGCUUUUGUGUUUGAAAGCGAGCCUGUGCACUUCUAACGAUUGGAAGGUUUCCUUGCCUUCUCCGAUCUUACACACAGCAAGGACAGCAAAGCCUUCCAGACCUGCCUGUGACAUGCACUGCACAUUCUAAAGAUGCCUAUGCAAUGGAAAACACCACUGUCUGCUCCAGCACAGCUGCCAUUCUUCCAUCUUAUCGACCUUAAUGCAACAACUCCUCACAGGCAGAGAUUUUAAAAUGUGUUCUUGGCAGAAGAGAGACUCAAAGAUGGGACAAAUGUGUCAUUUAAAUGCCUGUUAAAAUGGAAACAGACAUAGUAUAGUCAGAGGAUUGUGGCAGCUAAGAACAUAGUCUCUGGAGCAAAUCUGCAUGGGUGGCAAUGCCAAGCACAUGAGGUCCUAGUUGUAUGAACUUAGGAAAAGAAAAAGAGAACAUAUAUCCCCCUACCUUUUGAUUUCCAACAGUCUACUGAGAGGCCAAGAUUAUUUGCAGGGAAAGAAAAGGGGUCAAAAUGUUUUGCCAGUAACUCCCAAAUCAUCUACAGCCAAGGAGAAAAGUGUUUCAAGACAGAGGUGCUCAAUGGUAUCAAAUACUGCCAACAGACCAAGUAAUACAUGCAUUGAAGUGUCUACUGGAUCUAGCUAUAUGAAUUUUUAAUUUAGGACACUUAGGCCAUACUGAAGCAAGGUGACAAAAUGAAUAGCUACAAUGUCUCGUGAAUCUUGGGUUUCCAUUCACCCUGGUAUUCAAGAGAAAUUCUUGCAUCAUGGAAGUUGCAGUUGGAUAGGACUUUCUCAGCUGAACACUGUCAUCUGCCAGAGCUUCAGGCAAGAACCCAGAACAGAUGAAACCCCAGACAUGACAAAAUAAGCCAAAGAAUACCAGGCCAAGGUGUGAAAGGCCAGAUGAGAACAAGCAGCGUACACGAUUCUGUUGCCAACAGAUCUCCCCUAACAGUGUCGUGCACCAAAUUUCCACAGUGAAUGUCAGGAAAAAAUGGCAAUUGAGGUGGGUGGUCAAAAGAGAAGCACAGUCUAUGAUGAAGUCACCCCAGAGAAGUCCUUUUUCCGUUUUCUCCUGAGAAAUUACCAGAAGAAAUUAAAAUCCUUUUGAGUAUUGCAU